UACGUAGGGCGCAAGCGUUGUCCGGAAUUAUUGGGCGUAAAGAGCUCGUAGGUGGCUUGUCGCGUCUGCCGUGAAAGCCCGUGGCUUAACUACGGGUCUGCGGUGGAUACGGGCAGGCUAGAGGCUGGUAGGGGCAAGCGGAAUUCCUGGUGUAGCGGUGAAAUGCGCAGAUAUCAGGAGGAACACCGGUGGCGAAGGCGGCCUGCUGGGCCAGUUCUGACGCUGAGGAGCGAAAGCGUGGGGAGCGAACAGG
This 253-nucleotide ribosomal RNA is filed under the name uncultured bacterium. Its description in RNAcentral is "partial 16S ribosomal RNA". It matches the Rfam family "Bacterial small subunit ribosomal RNA", at positions 524 to 776 of the family's 1533-position model. The record is from RNAcentral.